This 173-nucleotide unclassified non-coding RNA is filed under the name soil metagenome. Its description in RNAcentral is "partial internal transcribed spacer 1". The record is from RNAcentral.
CAAGAAGCCGAAAGGCUACUUAAAACCAUCGCGAACUUAUCCAAGUUGCUUCGGCGGCGCGGCUCCCCUCACGGGGGACCGCAGCCCCCGCCUCUCAGGAGGUAAGGGGCAGCCGCCGAAGGUACGAAACUCUGUAUUAUAGUGGUAUCUCUGAGUAUAAAACAAAUAAGUUA